AUUGAACGCUGGCGGCAGGCCUAACACAUGCAAGUCGAGCGGAUGACGGGAGCUUGCUCCUUGAUUCAGCGGCGGACGGGUGAGUAAUGCCUAGGAAUCUGCCUGGUAGUGGGGGACAACGUGUCGAAAGGAACGCUAAUACCGCAUACGUCCUACGGGAGAAAGCAGGGGACCUUCGGGCCUUGCGCUAUCAGAUGAGCCUAGGUCGGAUUAGCUAGUUGGUGGGGUAAUGGCUCACCAAGGCGACGAUCCGUAACUGGUCUGAGAGGAUGAUCAAUCACACUGGAACUGAGACACGGUCCAGACUCCUACGGGAGGCAGCAGUGGGGAAUAUUGGACAAUGGGCGAAAGCCUGAUCCAGCCAUGCCGCGUGUGUGAAGAAGGUCUUCGGAUUGUAAAGCACUUUAAGUUGGGAGGAAGGGCAGUAAGCUAAUACCUUGCUGUUUUGACGUUACCGACAGAAUAAGCACCGGCUAACUCUGUGCCAGCCGCCGCCGUAA
RNAcentral lists this ribosomal RNA (500 nucleotides) under uncultured bacterium. RNAcentral's name for it is "partial 16S ribosomal RNA". It matches the Rfam family "Bacterial small subunit ribosomal RNA", at positions 30 to 523 of the family's 1533-position model. The record is from RNAcentral.